GGAGUUGGCCAGGCAAUCGCCGCUUUCUUUUGAAAGGGGAGGAAAGUCCGGGCUCCACAGGGCAGGGUGCCAGAUAACGUCUGGGCGGCGCGAGCCGACGACCAGUGCAGCAGAGAGUAAACCGCCUAAGCGCGUAAGCGCCGGUAAGGGUGAAAGGGUGCGGUAAGAGCGCACCGCACAGCUGGCAACAGUUUGUGGCAUGGUAAACUCCACCCGGAGCAAGACCAAAUAGGAUCCCGUUACGUGCGGCCCGCAUGGGGAUCGGGUAGGUUGCUGGAGCCAGUCAGCAAUGACUGGCCUAGAGGAAUGGUUGCCCACGACAGAACCCGGCUUAUCGGCCGACUCCACUC
This 350-nucleotide RNase P RNA is filed under the name Salinimonas iocasae. RNAcentral describes it as "Bacterial RNase P class A". It matches the Rfam family "Bacterial RNase P class A". Rfam says of the family: Ribonuclease P (RNase P) is a ubiquitous endoribonuclease, found in archaea, bacteria and eukarya as well as chloroplasts and mitochondria. Its best characterised activity is the generation of mature 5'-ends of tRNAs by cleaving the 5'-leader elements of precursor-tRNAs. Cellular RNase Ps are ribonucleoproteins. The record is from Rfam by way of RNAcentral. Lineage: Bacteria; Pseudomonadati; Pseudomonadota; Gammaproteobacteria; Alteromonadales; Alteromonadaceae.